RNAcentral lists this transfer RNA (72 nucleotides) under Harpalus sinicus. RNAcentral's name for it is "tRNA-Gln". The record is from RNAcentral. Lineage: Eukaryota; Metazoa; Arthropoda; Insecta; Coleoptera; Carabidae.
UACAUUUUAGUAUAUGAUGUAUAAAAGUUUUUGAUACUUUUGGAAAUAGUUUAAUUCUAUUAUUAAAUGUAA